AAACACAACGUCUUCUUUCCUCAAUCUUUAGUCUCCACCCACUGAUAUCCUCCAUUGAACCCGUAUCAAAACAACCAUCAAUCUCGCCACCAGUAGUCACCAUUGACCUAACCACCAUCAAAACUCUACAACCCAUCUUCAUCCUCUCUCCACAAUGACAUUUGAAGGAAGAGAAAAUAAAAAACAAAGUAAAAAAAUCAUCUCCUUUCCUUAUUGUUGAAAACCAUCUUUUUUUUACCUCCACAGCUAACCAUCCCUCCUCCUCUCGCUGGCUCCUCCACUGUCAGCCAACCAGCACCACGCGAGCAACGACAUCUCUCUCUUUAGCAACCGUUGUCCAACCUAUCACAGCCAUGACCAUCCUUACAACUAACAACCCUCAAGCCACAAUAACUAUCGACUUGAACUAGCUAGAAAAAAUAACUAUACACCUUCCAGUCGUCUACAACAUCAGCGUUGUCAGUAAUUUUCUAUAAGUCCAGUCGCCCUACAUAAUAGUGUUGUCAACAAUCUUUUCCAAGUCCAGCCGUGACAGCACCCCUCAACUUCUCAAACGGUAACAUCCUCCACCAUUAGAAAUGUUCUAUCAACCCAACUUCCCCUAACCGAUGUUUCACCCACAGAUCCAAAACAACCAACUCUUUUAUGACAACCAAAAACCUUUCUCUUAGAACACAAACCACCACCACACACUUCACCAUAGACUCGUCACUUGCCUACAACAGACCCUUUGUUUACCUGAAACAAAAAAGAAAGAAAGAGGAAACUAAGAGAAAGAUAAUAGAGAAAAGCAAAUUUAAAAAAUAAAAAGAAGGAAAGGACCCUGAAAAUACUUUUGCAGAAUAAGUGAAGAACCGAGAAGCAGAAAAAUAAAAGACUUUGAUCUCUACAGUGACUGUUUGUUACUGUAGAUCAACACCAGAAAUUUGAAUUUGAACAGGGGAUGUUUAUUGCAUGAAAAACUGGAUAAUGAUAAGGAUAAUUGCUCACUUUUACAGCAAUCAAUUACACUGAUUUAUAGAAGAAAAUAAACAGAAAAACUAAAAAUACGCAACACUACUGCCACGUUUGGCUUACAUUUCGCCAUUACUAACAAUUCACCUAAGGACUUGUUCAAUCCUUUAUUCUAGCAGAGAUAAAAACAAUACGUGAGCUGAACUGGUCUUCAAGCAACACGUCAGCAACUUAAGGCAAUAAAUUUCAACACUCCUCCUUGCAUUAAGGGCUGCAAACCCCAAUCAUCCUGGUUAGAAAUUCAAACCGAUUUGCAGGGAGUGCUUUGGUAAACAAGUCUGCCAAUUGAUCUUCGGUUCUGCAAUAAAUCAAUUCAACAUCACCAUUUUUCUGCACAUCACGAACAAAGUAUAACUUGAUGUUGAAAUGUUUGGUUUUCCCGUGGAACACUGGAUUGUGAGAAAUUGCUAUGGCUGCUUGAUUGUCAACUGAAAUUUCAGUUGCUUCUUGCUCCUCCAUCUGUAAAUCACAUAGCAAUUUUUUAAUCCAUAGUGCUUGAUUAACUGCUGCAGUUGCAGCUAUGAACUCAGCCUCCGCAGUUGAUUGAGCGACAAUGCUUUGCUUCUUAGAUGACCAUGAAAACACAGCUGAUCCUAAAUUGAAACAAAACCCCGAAGUACUUUUCAUGUCAUCAACAAAUCCACCCCAAUCACUGUCAGAGAAACCAUGCAACUUCAGCUUUUGACACUUUGUAAAUUUGACUCCAAAAUUGCAUGUUCCUUUGAUGUAUCUCAAAACUCUUUUGGCUGCCCUCAUGUGCAACUCACUUGGACAGUGCAUGAAACGAGCAAGAAGAUUGGUUGCAUAUAAUAUGUCAGGUCUGGUUGCUGUUAAAUACAGCAAGCAACCAAUUAAGCUUCUGAACCUUUCUUCAUCUACCUUGGCAGUACCAUCAUCCUUGCUGAACUUGUCCUUCUGAUUCAUUGGAGUUGCAGUUGGCUUGCAAUUUUCCAUUUGAAAUUUCUUCAAAAUUUCCUUUGCAUAUUUUUCUUGUCCAAUAAAAAUUUCUCCUCUGUCUUGCUUGAUCUCCAUGCCGAGAAAGAAACUCAUGAGCCCAAGAUCACUCAUCUCGAAAGCUUGCAUCAUAUCCUGCUUGAACCUUUCGAUUUGCUGCAAAUUACUCCCAGUCACAAGAAGGUCAUCAACAUACAGUGACACAAUUAGAACAUCACCUUCAAUUUUGUUCACAUAGAGAGUUGAUUCAGAGGGGCUUCUCUGGAAACCAAAACCUGUCAAGUACUCAUCAAUUCUUCCAUACCAGGCCCUUGGUGCCUGUUUUAAUCCAUAGAGUGCCUUCUUCAACAAAUACACCUUGUCAGCUUUGCCUUGAACAACAAAUCCAGCAGGUUGUUCAACGUAAAUUUCUUCUUGAAGAACACCAUUCAAGAAGGCAGAUUUGACGUCCAACUGGAACACCUUCCAGUUUCUGUGUGCUGCAACAGCAAGUAGCAAUCGGAUAGUGUCCAUCCUUGCUACUGGGGCAAAUGUGUCUGAAUAAUCAACCCCAUACACUUGAGCAUAUCCCUUGACAACGAGCCUGGCUUUGAAUUUGUUGAUUGAACUAUCAGCGUUCAAUUUGGUUCUGAAAAUCCAUUUUACGCCAAUGAUGUUUUUGUCUCCAGGUCUGUCAACAAGUUCCCACGUCUUGUUCUUCUCGAUCAUGAAGAUUUCUUCUUCCAUUGCCUUCUGCCAUGAUGGAUUUUGUUGAGCUUCUUCAUAGUUGUCAGGUUCGCACACAGCAACAUUGCUCCUUUGAUAAAUUUCUUCAAUUGAUCGAGUACCCCUGACUGGUUCAUCAUCAAUUGAUUCGGAGUCAAUCAAUUUAUCUUGCAAGGGCUGAAUUUGAUUAUUAAUCAGCAUGCUCUCCUGUGAAUCAACCCACUCCCACUGUGCAUCUUCAUGAAAUGUGACAUCCCUUGUAAUAGCAAUUUUCUGACUUUGAGGAUGAUAAACCUUGUAGGCUUUAGAAAUUGUGCUAUAGCCAACAAAAAUUCCUUUGAUGGCUUUCUUGUCAAGCUUGUCCCUCUUAAUCUGUGGAACAUGUACAAAACAAACACAACCAAAAAUUUUGAGGAAACGCAAGGAAGGCUUAUAAUUAUACCACAUCUCAAAGGGUGUCAUUUCUGCCAACACUGAUGUUGGAAGUCGAUUCUGGAUGAACACUGCUGUGUUAGCAGCUUCUGCCCACAGCAUUUUGGGUAGAUUCUUCUCAUGCAUCAUGCUUCUCACCAUCUCCAUGACAUAUCGAUUACGCCUUUCACUUACCCCAUUCUGUUCUGGAGUAUAGGGGUUGUUAGCGGUGUUCAAUACCAGCAUCUUCACAGUAAUGGUUGAAUUCGGCUGAGGUAUACUCUUUGCCAUUGUCAGACCGUAUGGCUUGAAUGCUGCUGCCACUUUGGUUCUCCAUUUUUCUUGAAUUUCCAGAAGAUGCCAGCCACCUCUGACUUGAACUUCAUGAAAUAUAUCCAGCACAUACGGGAGUAAUCAUCAAUAAAUAACAGAUAGUAUCUGCUGCCAUUUAGUGAUGGUGUGCUUAAGGGACCAGCUACAUCCGUAUGAAUUAACUGGAGCUUGUGUGUUGCUCGCCAAGUUGAUCGUGGAAAUGGCAUUCUAUUUUGCUUCCCAAAUUGACAAGCAUUACAGUUUAAUUGGAGAUCAGUGAAUGAUGGUAUACCUCUGACAGCUUCAUGAACCUUCAUGGUGAGCAUCCUCUUUUGAUGACAGUGUGCCAGCCGUUUGUGCCAUAGUUCAGUGUCACUAAGAGUGACUGGAAAUGCAGUAUGCUCUCCUUCAAAUGGAACAAAUGAGAAGCUUUUGCCUCUCAUUUUAGCUUGAAGUAUUUUGUGCCCAGCAGCAUCAAAAAUACAGCAAGUGUGAUUCUCAAAAAUCACCUUCAUUCCUUUCUCAAUCAAUUGCCCCACACUCAGCAAAUUUUGAUCAAUAUCAGGUACAUAAAAAACAUCUGCUAUUGUUUUUGUACCCGAGUUUGUUGUAAUGGCAAUUGUUCCCUUUCCCUUAGCUUUAAUGCAUUCACCAUUUCCAAUUCUGACUUUUGCAACAUCUGUUGGCUGCAGAUUUCUGAAGAGACUUUUAUCAAAAGUCAUGUGGUUUGUACAACCACUGUCGAUUAGCCAAUGAUCUGAGGUAGUUUGUACUGAGAAACAUGUUGCCACAAACAACUUGAGGUAGUUUGUACUCUGUAGAUGAUUGCCUCGUGCCCAAGCUGGUUGCAUUUGCUGCACCUUGCAUCAGGCCUCUUCUAGCACUUGAAUGGUGGAUGACCCAUCUUGUUGCAAUGUUGACAUGGUGGAAAAUUUCUUUUAAUGAAUUUUCCUUUACCAUGACCUUGACUGGUGGGUUUGGCUGCAACUUGGUGUUUUCUGCCAAAUUUCCUUCUUUCAGAAUCUAGAAAUUUGGCUUGCAAGGCACCUUCAAUGACAUGAUCUUGCCUCAUAAGCCUUCUUUGUUCUUGGGCUUGUAAGGCAUUCAAAAGUUCUGUCAAGGUAAUACUUGACAGAUCUUUUGUGUUCUCCAGAGUGGUGAUUGAAGCUUCAUAUUUUUCUGGUACUGUGACCAGAAUUUUCUCAACAAUUCUUGAGUCUAAGAAUGAAAUUCCCAGCAAUUUCACCCUGUUUGCAAUUCCUAGCAAUCUGUCUGAGUACUCCUUGAUAGUCUCAGAAUCCUUCAUCCUCUGCAGCUCAAAUUCACGUAUUAAAUUGAGACUUUGCAUCCCACGAAUUUUCUCAUCUCCUGCAUACUCUUCCUUCAAAUAUUCCCAGACAUCCUUAGCUGACUUCAAGGACAUGAUCCUGGUGAAGAUCAUUGUUGAAACAGCAGCAAAAAGAGUGGCUUUUGCUUUUGAUUUCUUGGUCUUUCUCUCCUUAUGACUCUUGAUUUGAGUCAUGGUUGGAUUAUUUGGCAGUGGUAGGAUCUCGUAAUCCUCUUCAACAGCUUCCCAUAAAUCCAUAGCUUCUAAAUAUGUUUCCAUUCGUACUGCCCAAAGUUGGUAAUUUUCUCCAUUGAAGAUUGGAGUUGAGAUAUGAGAGAAGUUAGUUUCGGAAUCCAUUACAGACCCUUCAAGAAAUAAGCUCUGAUACCAAUUGAAAAUACUUUUGCAGAAUAAGUAAAGAACCGAGAAGCAGAAAAAUAAAAGACUUUGAUCUCUAUAGUGACUGUUUGUUACUGUAGAUCAACACCAGAAAUUUGAAUUUGAACAGGGGAUGUUUAUUGCAUGAAAAACUGGAUAAUGAUAAGGAUAAUUGCUCACUUUUAGAGCAAUCAAUUACACUGAUUUAUAGAAGGAAAAUAAACAGAAAAACUAAAAUUAAGCAACGCUACUGCCACGUUUGGCUUACAUUUCGCCACUACUAACCAUUCACCUAAGGACUUGUUCAAUCCUUUAUUCUAGCAGAAAUAAAAACAACACGUGAGCUGAACUGGUCUUCAAGCAACACGUCAGUAACUUAAGGCAAUAAAUUUCAACAGACCCAACCUUCAAGUCACCAGAUCCGUCUCCAAGAUUGAUGUUGUAAGACUCUGCUAGCUAGGAAGUGAAAAAGGAGCUGAUAAGCUUCAGAUACAACAGCUCACGCUCCUUCAACAGUACUGAUGUGUGAAUCCGCACGUUAGAAGUGAUGGA
This 5653-nucleotide long non-coding RNA is filed under the name Populus tremula. RNAcentral describes it as "long non-coding RNA (PTRE_LNC001394)". Lineage: Eukaryota; Viridiplantae; Streptophyta; Magnoliopsida; Malpighiales; Salicaceae. The record is from RNAcentral.